This 330-nucleotide unclassified non-coding RNA is filed under the name Hevea brasiliensis (rubber tree). Lineage: Eukaryota; Viridiplantae; Streptophyta; Magnoliopsida; Malpighiales; Euphorbiaceae. The record is from RNAcentral.
CUACUCUUUAUUCCUCUAGUCGUCGGAGACAAAUUUAUCGUCACCGUUGAUAAAAUAUUGGCGAAAAUAUCGGUUUCCAUUAAAACCGAUGACCCCAAUCUAGGCGAACGGGCAAAAGGUGGACUCCAGCAAUUAAUCGCCAUUUUUCUAUUUCUUUUUCUUCUUUUAAGGCUCCUAAAAGGCCUAUUCACUUUCGGCUCUUUCCAAUCGGUAAGAAUCCACUCUCUCGUCCCUGCAAUUCUAGCACGUCAUUUUUUUUUUCUCGAUUUUGCAUUAUAGACCCAAAGCUUUCAAAGUGUUCUCUACAAUGACUCAUUCUGAUAAACCCAG